AAGACUAUAUUUGCAAGGAUCAUUUCUAGAAUGAAACACGUUUUGAAGGGAUUGGUCUCGGUAUCCACCAGGAGGAGUGGCAGUGUUUUCUUCUGAGCACCGAGCUGACAAUGAGUGUUGUUAUCGGGAACCUACUCGCUGCAAGGAAUGACCACUUCAAUCUUCAGUCGGGGGUUGCUGAAGGAAGGGGACACAUUUUGAGUGUG
This is a small nucleolar RNA of Acipenser ruthenus (sterlet), 206 nucleotides long. RefSeq annotates it as small nucleolar RNA U3. Lineage: Eukaryota; Metazoa; Chordata; Actinopteri; Acipenseriformes; Acipenseridae. The record is from RefSeq and is a predicted model, not a curated record. The transcript has a single exon.